CUUUAAUCAAACCAAUAAAUAACACAACAAUAUGUUGUACCAUUUAUUCGCUAAUGGUUAAGUAGAAAGCGCUCGGAUC
Molecule: ribosomal RNA, 79 nt
Filed under: Priestia megaterium
Lineage: Bacteria; Bacillati; Bacillota; Bacilli; Caryophanales; Bacillaceae
Description: Bacillus megaterium 23S ribosomal RNA
Source: RNAcentral